CGGGUGAGUAACGCGUAAAGAACUUGCCUCAUAGUCUGGGACAACAUUUGGAAACGGAUGCUAAUACCGGAUAUUAUGCUUUCUUCGCAUGGAGGAAGUAUGAAAGCUAUAUGCGCUAUGAGAGAGCUUUGCGUCCCAUUAGCUAGUUGGUGAGGUAACGGCCCACCAAGGCGAUGAUGGGUAGCCGGCCUGAGAGGGUGAACGGCCACAAGGGGACUGAGACACGGCCCUUACUCCUACGGGAGGCAGCAGCU
RNAcentral lists this ribosomal RNA (254 nucleotides) under uncultured Fusobacterium sp. RNAcentral's name for it is "partial 16S ribosomal RNA". It matches the Rfam family "Bacterial small subunit ribosomal RNA", at positions 103 to 355 of the family's 1533-position model. The record is from RNAcentral. Lineage: Bacteria; Fusobacteriati; Fusobacteriota; Fusobacteriia; Fusobacteriales; Fusobacteriaceae.